This 312-nucleotide small nuclear RNA is filed under the name Erinaceus europaeus (western European hedgehog). RNAcentral's name for it is "7SK RNA (ENSEEUG00000020015.1)". It matches the Rfam family "7SK RNA". Rfam says of the family: 7SK was discovered as an abundant small nuclear RNA in the mid-70s but a possible function has only recently been suggested. The record is from RNAcentral. Lineage: Eukaryota; Metazoa; Chordata; Mammalia; Eulipotyphla; Erinaceidae.
GGAUAUGAGGGUGAUCUGGCUGCGACAUCUAUCACCCAUUGAUCGCCAGGGUUGAUUCAGCUGAUCUGGCUGGCUAGGCGGGUGUCCCCUUCCUCUGUCACCGCUCCAUGUGUGUCCCUCCCAAAGCUGCACGCUCGGUCGAAGAAGACGGCCUUCCCCGAAUAGAGACGGACUGGUCUUGGGUGAAGGGUAUAUGAGUAGCUGCGCUCCCCUGCUAGAACCUCCAAACAAGCUCUCAAGGUCCAGUCCUGACUUAUCUAUACAUUGUGAUCAUCAAAUGACUUGGCUUAGAGAUACUAGAAGCCUAGAAUA